Molecule: long non-coding RNA, 1289 nt
Organism: Polypterus senegalus (gray bichir)
Lineage: Eukaryota; Metazoa; Chordata; Cladistia; Polypteriformes; Polypteridae
Exons: 2
Source: RefSeq, a predicted model, not a curated record
CCAAAAUACACAACAGCAAUGAAGGAAAGGGGUGGGAGGGGUGGGAGUUAAACAACACACUGACUUGUGUAUCACAGUGAAGGGAAACAGUCAGCUGGGCUGGAGAGAAGGAGUAGAGUGGGCAAAGGCAUGGGUGGUCCAUGGACAUCAUUGUAUAAGUCAGGGCACCCCUGUACAAUCAGCACACUGUCACUAGACAGUACAACUGACACUGUUUUAAAUGUGAGCCCACUGCCGUCACAUGGAAUCAUCGUCUUCUGCCAUGGAUGUUCUCUUUGUAGUUAUUGAAACUUAUAUAUGCUGCCUGGACUACAGAAUUACAAAUAGAGUAAUUCUCAUACUUUAUAUUCUUUCAUCAAUUUAAUGAAUUAUUUAAUUCUUUUUCAGUGUUAAAGGAAGUUAGAGCCAACUCUGAAAACAUCAAGGGACCAUAGGUGUGGGAAAGGAGUAUAAAAAGAACAGAGCCAACAAUAAGCAUCUGGGUAUCAACAAUCAAUCAUGUUAAUAACACGCUUGGAGAGAAGCAAAGUACGCUCCUGGGGCUGAAAGGUUGCCACGGUGGAAGACGAGUGAUGAGAUGAAGCACAUAGCAGGAUUACUUUUAAAACAGCUGAAACUCACAAAAAUGGCUUUUUUCUUUCAUUAAACAACAUGGAUAUUGUGUUUUACAUUAUGCAAGUAAUCUCAAGAUGCAGAUCAAUACUCGAUAACAAACUAGACUUGAAAAAUGUACAUAUUCAAUUAGUUUAAGUUAAAAUUUGGACCUCAAUACCCUUCACCACCAUUUUAAAGUACAAAAGCAGGGUAGGAAUUCAUUAAUAUUUAUAAAAAAAUACACCAUGAUUCUGAAGAAAUAAUUCCAACCUGAAAAAUAUCAAACAUAUAUUUAAUGAUAGAUAGAUAGAUAGAUAGAUAGAUAUUAAAUACACAGCAUAAAAUAAAGGUCACAGUUUGGUUUGAAUGGGAAACUGCAUCAUUACGUGAGUCCACACAUAUUAAUACUCUUAAAUAUAUGUACACAAAAACUGCAAAAAGUACACUAUAGCCUAAGCAGUAAACUAAAAUUAAAUACUCCUAAAACAAAUACGUUUGUAAGUUCUACUUAUGUGAUUGUGUCAAAAAUUUAAAUAUUGCAAUAUAUUAAGACGAUUGCGGUAGUUCUAUUACUUAUAGAAUACAGCUACAUGUGAUCUUGUUUCCUCAACAAACCACCUCCUAAUUUAAUAAAAUCUUAGGUUGUUUUGUAUUUCUUACUCUGCCAUUUUUUUAAAUUAAAUUAUUGUUUAUCU